GGCGGACAAGGAGAGCUUACGACAUUUGGAUGCGAAGAGCAAAGCAACAUCGGACGAAGUGUGCAAGAGCUAGCGGUAGUGGAUAUCGGGCGAAUCAAAGCAUACUUCCAGGUUUUUCCAUCGGGAGUUGGUACCUCCCGACCUCCCCUUUUACUCUGUACACCCUUUUACGUUUUCUAUCUAAGCACCCUGUGUGUGGUUUACUUUUUCGAUUCCUAGCUUGCAUCCUUUUGCGUAUUCCGCUGUAGUGCGUGGGUGCAUUACUAUUUUCCGUAAUCGGUUGGGAUAGUGGCCGCGGCGUGAGAUGGUAGAGUAAGGUCAUGUCCUCGUGGGGUAGGGGUGGGGGCAGGGGCAAGCAGGGGGGCUGGGAGCGAUUCUGUGGGUAGGGCCGGAAGCAAGGGUGGGAAGAGGGUAGCGGAUGCUCAUAGAUUAAGGAUCGAGUCGUG
This 446-nucleotide long non-coding RNA is filed under the name Nicotiana benthamiana. RNAcentral describes it as "long non-coding RNA (NBEN_LNC024914)". Lineage: Eukaryota; Viridiplantae; Streptophyta; Magnoliopsida; Solanales; Solanaceae. The record is from RNAcentral.